GGCACGGUUCUUAGCAGCUUUAGCUAGGAAAAUGAACAUCUGCAACUGCUUGCACUCUGCAACUCCAAUGCGCUGUUCAACAAUACUCAGUUGAUUCUCCGAGUUCUCUUGUUGCUGCUUAAGAUUGAGGAUUUCGAUCCUCAAUAAGUCCUGAUCAUUCUUCAAACUUUCAAGUUCGGCUUCCAAACCAGGUUUAGCCGAAUCAUCACCGC
This 212-nucleotide unclassified non-coding RNA is filed under the name Hevea brasiliensis (rubber tree). The record is from RNAcentral. Lineage: Eukaryota; Viridiplantae; Streptophyta; Magnoliopsida; Malpighiales; Euphorbiaceae.